GGGUUGUGAGGUUAAGCGACUAAGCGUACACGGUGGAUGCCCUGGCAGUCAGAGGCGAUGAAGGACGUGCUAAUCUGCGAAAAGCGCCGGCGAGGUGAUAUGAACCCUUGACCCGGCGAUGUCCGAAUGGGGAAACCCAGUGUGAUUCGUCACACUAUCGUUAGCUGAAUACAUAGGCUAACGAGGCGAACCGGGGAACUGAAACAUCUAAGUACCCCGAGGAAAAGAAAUCAACCGAGAUUCCCCCAGUAGCGGCGAGCGAACGGGGAGCAGCCCGGAGUCUGAAUCAGCUUGUGUGUUAGUGGAAGCGUCUGGAAAGUCGCAGGGUACAGGGUGAUACUCCCGUACACGAAAGCACACUUGCUGUGAACUCGAAGAGUAGGGCGGGACACGUGGUAUCCUGUCUGAAUAUGGGGGGACCAUCCUCCAAGGCUAAAUACUCCUGACUGACCGAUAGUGAACCAGUACCGUGAGGGAAAGGCGAAAAGAACCCCGGCGAGGGGAGUGAAAAAGAACCUGAAACCGUGUACGUACAAGCAGUGGGAGCACCUUCGGGUGUGACUGCGUACCUUUUGUAUAAUGGGUCAGCGACUUAUAUUCUGUAGCAAGGUUAACCGUAUAGGGGAGCCGAAGGGAAACCGAGUCUUAACUGGGCGUUAAGUUGCAGGGUAUAGACCCGAAACCCGGUGAUCUAGCCAUGGGCAGGUUGAAGGUUGGGUAACACUAACUGGAGGACCGAACCGACUAAUGUUGAAAAAUUAGCGGAUGACCUGUGGCUGGGGGUGAAAGGCCAAUCAAACCGGGAGAUAGCUGGUUCUCCCCGAAAGCUAUUUAGGUAGCGCCUCGUGAAUUCAUCUCCGGGGUAGAGCACUGUUUCGGCUAGGGGGCCAUCCCGGCUUACCAACCCGAUGCAAACUGCGAAUACCGGAGAAUGUUAUCACGGGAGACACACGGCGGGUGCUAACGUCCGUCGUGAAGAGGGAAACAACCCAGACCGCCAGCUAAGGUCCCAAAGUCAUGGUUAAGUGGGAAACGAUGUGGGAAGGCACAGACAGCCAGGAUGUUGGCUUAGAAGCAGCCAUCAUUUAAAGAAAGCGUAAUAGCUCACUGGUCGAGUCGGCCUGCGCGGAAGAUGUAACGGGGCUAAACCAUGCACCGAAGCUGCGGCAGCGACACUAUGUGUUGUUGGGUAGGGGAGCGUUCUGUAAGCCUGCGAAGGUGUGCCGUGAGGCAUGCUGGAGGUAUCAGAAGUGCGAAUGCUGACAUAAGUAACGAUAAAGCGGGUGAAAAGCCCGCUCGCCGGAAGACCAAGGGUUCCUGUCCAACGUUAAUCGGGGCAGGGUGAGUCGACCCCUAAGGCGAGGCCGAAAGGCGUAGUCGAUGGGAAACAGGUUAAUAUUCCUGUACUCGGUGUUACUGCGAAGGGGGACGGAGAAGGCUAUGUUGGCCGGGCGACGGUUGUCCCGGUUUAAGCAUGUAGGCGGAGGUUCCAGGUAAAUCCGGUACCUUUUAACGCUGAGGUGUGAUGACGAGGCACUACGGUGCUGAAGCAACAAAUGCCCUGCUUCCAGGAAAAGCCUCUAAGCAUCAGGUAACAUCAAAUCGUACCCCAAACCGACACAGGUGGUCAGGUAGAGAAUACCAAGGCGCUUGAGAGAACUCGGGUGAAGGAACUAGGCAAAAUGGUGCCGUAACUUCGGGAGAAGGCACGCUGAUAUGUAGGUGAAGCCCCUGCGGGUGGAGCUGAAAUCAGUCGAAGAUACCAGCUGGCUGCAACUGUUUAUUAAAAACACAGCACUGUGCAAACACGAAAGUGGACGUAUACGGUGUGACGCCUGCCCGGUGCCGGAAGGUUAAUUGAUGGGGUUAGCGGCAACGCGAAGCUCUUGAUCGAAGCCCCGGUAAACGGCGGCCGUAACUAUAACGGUCCUAAGGUAGCGAAAUUCCUUGUCGGGUAAGUUCCGACCUGCACGAAUGGCGUAAUGAUGGCCAGGCUGUCUCCACCCGAGACUCAGUGAAAUUGAAAUCGCUGUGAAGAUGCAGUGUACCCGCGGCAAGACGGAAAGACCCCGUGAACCUUUACUAUAGCUUGACACUGAACACUGGUCCUUGAUGUGUAGGAUAGGUGGGAGGCUUUGAAGUGUGGACGCCAGUCUGCAUGGAGCCGUCCUUGAAAUACCACCCUUUAAUGGCUGGUGUUCUAACGUGGACCCGUAAUCCGGGUUGCGGACAGUGUCUGGUGGGUAGUUUGACUGGGGCGGUCUCCUCCUAAAGAGUAACGGAGGAGCACGAAGGUCAGCUAAUCCUGGUCGGACAUCAGGAGGUUAGUGCAAUGGCAUAAGCUGGCUUGACUGCGAGAGUGACGGCUCGAGCAGGUGCGAAAGCAGGUCAUAGUGAUCCGGUGGUUCUGAAUGGAAGGGCCAUCGCUCAACGGAUAAAAGGUACUCCGGGGAUAACAGGCUGAUACCGCCCAAGAGUUCAUAUCGACGGCGGUGUUUGGCACCUCGAUGUCGGCUCAUCACAUCCUGGGGCUGAAGUAGGUCCCAAGGGUAUGGCUGUUCGCCAUUUAAAGUGGUACGCGAGCUGGGUUUAGAACGUCGUGAGACAGUUCGGUCCCUAUCUGCCGUGGGCGCUGGAGAAUUGAGGGGGGCUGCUCCUAGUACGAGAGGACCGGAGUGGACGCAUCACUGGUGUUCGGGUUGUCAUGCCAAUGGCACUGCCCGGUAGCUAAAUGCGGAAGAGAUAAGUGCUGAAAGCAUCUAAGCACGAAACUUGCCCCGAGAUGAGUUCUCCCUGACCCUUUAAGGGUCCUGAAGGAACGUUGAAGACGACGACGUUGAUAGGCCGGGUGUGUAAGCGCAGCGAUGCGUUGAGCUAACCGGUACUAAUGAACCGUGAGGCUUAACCUUACAACGCCGAAGCUGUU
RNAcentral lists this ribosomal RNA (2926 nucleotides) under Leclercia sp. W17. Its description in RNAcentral is "bacterial LSU rRNA". It matches the Rfam family "Bacterial large subunit ribosomal RNA". Lineage: Bacteria; Pseudomonadati; Pseudomonadota; Gammaproteobacteria; Enterobacterales; Enterobacteriaceae. The record is from RNAcentral.